GACGAACGCUGGCGGCGUGCUUAACACAUGCAAGUGGAGCGACGAACCAGGCUUCGGCCUGGGGCAGAGCCGCGAACGGGUGAGUAACACGUGGGUAACCUGCCCUGAUGACUGGGACAACCCGGGGAAACCCGGGCGUAAUACCGGAUGUGCUGCUCCCACACCAGUGGGAGUAGGAAAGGAAGCUUCGGCCUCCGCAUCAGGAUGGGCCCGCGGCCCAUUAGCUUGUUGGUGAGG
This 237-nucleotide ribosomal RNA is filed under the name uncultured bacterium. RNAcentral describes it as "partial 16S ribosomal RNA". It matches the Rfam family "Bacterial small subunit ribosomal RNA", at positions 28 to 257 of the family's 1533-position model. The record is from RNAcentral.